AGGUAGAUAAAAUAGAGGUAGAUAAAAAAUCGAAAGAGUAUAAUGAUACAACAGUUAGAACUAAUAAUGAAUAUAAUAAUAAACGAGUCAGACAACCUGAUAGUAUUGAAAAGGUUGAUAUAACAGAAAAGGAAAAAAAUGAACAAGAAUAUGACAAAAACAAUGAAGGACUAAUAGAAUUGAUUAAUAUAUGGAAAAAAUAUUUUGACAAUGAUACAAAUAAUUAUUUUAUUAUUAUUUUAAAAACAAUGAAUAAACAUGAUGUAUUAAAUUUUAAUCUUAUGAUAUCAUAUUUAAAAAAAAAAAAGAAAUAAUAUGUUAGAAGAAUUUAUUGAAUAUCUUAACAAUUUUAUUUAUAAUUUAAGAUUUUUUUCUUUUCGUAUAUGGAAUACAUUUAUAUUUGAUUUUUUAAUAGAUCUAUCAAAAGAGUAUAAAACGCAAAUAAAUUUCGAAAAUGUUUUAUUUUUAUUAAAUAGGUGUUACAAAAUUUAUUUAAUGAAUGCUAGUGAUGCUACUACUACUACUACUACUACUACUACUACUGCUACUACUACUACUACUACUACUACUACUACUACUGCUACUGCUACUGCUACUGCUACUGCUACUGCUACUACUGCUACUACUGCUACUACUGCUACUACCGCUAUACCCGAACCGAAUCAAAUACAAAAACAACUGCUCCUACUCGACAGCAAAAUAAAAGAAGACAUUUAUAUUGACAGUAUAUUAACAAAAGAAGAUUUAAUAUAUGAAAAAAGAACAUGUCCCAAUGGAGUAUUAAAAAGUAUUAUGUUAAAAUUAUAUAAUAUAAUAUAUAACUUAUUAGAUACUAUAGACGAAUUAGAUGAAUGUUUUGUACAAAAAAUGGAAUAUAUAAUUUAUAAUUUUAACAGUCCUUUAUGUUUUAUAUAUAUAAUAAUAAAUAUUUUAUUAAAAAAAAAAAAAAACAUAAAUGAAUUUAUUGAUACUUUAAAAAAUAGAAUAUGUUUUUUUUUCGAAAAUGUGGAAACUAUUGUAAAAAAUAAUAACUUUUUUUUUUGUAAUAUUUUGAUUACUUUUAUAUUUCUAAUUAACCAUUUUCAAAAAACAGAUACUUCGUUUAUAAAUAUUGCGGGUCAGAAAUUGAAAAUAAUUUAUGACGAUUUAUGUCGAAAUGAGCAACACAUUGUUAAUACUGACCCAGACACAAGUACAGACACAAACGUAAACACAAGUACCGACACAAACGUAAACACAAGUACCAACACCAAUAGUAACUGUAUGAUUAUGAUAAAAAAUUGUAUCUAUCUGACCCAGUGUGUUUUUUUAAUAGACAAAGGUAUAUGUAACAGAACUGAACUAUUUUUUAAUAUUGAAAAAGAUUUAAAAAAUAACAAAAUAUCAAUGAAUAU
This 1394-nucleotide long non-coding RNA is filed under the name Piliocolobus tephrosceles (Ugandan red Colobus). RNAcentral describes it as "lncRNA (ENSPTEG00000012153.1)". The record is from RNAcentral. Lineage: Eukaryota; Metazoa; Chordata; Mammalia; Primates; Cercopithecidae.